GAAAACAGUCUAAAACAUGAUAAAAUAAUUCAAUGUAGCAGAUAAUGUCAUAAAUACGCGGAAGAACAACCCAACACAGCCCAAAACCGGGGUGUCACUAGUCAUGACCAUCUAUAAUCCUACUACAAGUCCGAUAAGUCUAUAACUACUACAAAUGUUUGGAAAGAGAUAGAAAUGACAAGAGAGAAAAACACAGGACUGCGGACGCCAAACAGCUGCCUCGUGAACUCCGAAUGUCCGUCGGGAGCCCUCAACUCGCACUAGCAGGAUCAGCAACGCCGGAAUCUGCACACGGGAUGCAGGGAGAAAAGUGAGUAAUCCAACUCAGUGAGUAACAAAUGUAAAUAAAGACUGAAAGCAAGAAAUCACGUAAAACACAAGACAUUCUAUAAUGAAGCAGUAAAACAGUGAAAGAUAGGUAAAAUCCUUUAACUCAAAUAUAGUUUGAUGAAAAACCAUUUUCAAUAAUUAAGCAGGUAAUUGACAAUCAGUUAUGAAAAGUAAACACAUAAAAGCUCACCCUUCGGGCACAGUAUCAGCAAUUCCGCCCCUCGGGCAACAUCUCAGAACAGUACCAGCCCCUCGGGCAAUCACAUAGAACAAUAUCAGCCCCUCAGGCUCAAUCUCACAUCAUAAUGGGUACACGCGCUCACUGGGGGUGUACAGACUCCUGGAGGGGCCCCUUACGACCCAAGCGCAAUGUCAAGCCACCUCGUGGCAUCAUUACUAGGCCCUUGGCCUCAUAUCAAAUAAGCCACCUCAUGGCGUACAUAUCUCAGGCCCUCGGCCUCAGUCAAAAAUCCUCACAAGCCACUCGGGCAAUAGUAAAACAGUGUUUCUCAUCCCAGACAUCAUUUAAAAAUAUCAUUUGAGUAUUAAAACUAAGUAAACAUGGCUGAGUACGAAAACAGUGGAAAAUAACAUGACUGAGUUCAAGUAUAAAGUCAAAACAGUGAGGAAAUAUCAAUAAAAAUCCCCGAAGGGUUCAAAUAGUUGGCACGAAGCCGAAAUAUGGCAUUCAACCCAAAUAAUGAUGAUAAUAAAUAGAUUCCAGUCAAAUACGCAGUAAAACCAUCAAUCGAAACGAACCAAGUCACAAUCCCAAAUAGUGCACGACCCCACGCACGUCAUCAAACGUGUGUCUCACCUCAAUAUAGCACUACGAUGUGCAAAUCCGGGGUUUCAAACCCUUAGAACAUCAUUUACAAUCAUUACUCACCUCGAACCGGUCAAAUCUCUAGCUCGCAACGCCUUUGCCCCUCGAAUCGGCCUCCACUCGCGUCGAAUCUAUCCAAAAAUCAGAAUCACGAUGUCAAAAUAUGCUAAGGGAACGAAGCCCAAGCGAAAACAAUCAAAUAAUAGCAGAAAUCUCGAAAUUGGCCAAACCCAACCCCCGGGCCCACGUCUCGAAAGUCGAUAAAAAUCACAUUACCGGAAUCCUUAUCCUCCUACGAGUCUAUACAUAUCAAAAACACUAAAAUUAGAGUCCAAAUGGCCCCUCAAAUCCUCAUUUAAAGUCUCUUAAUCUCAAGCCCUAACUUCUCAAUUUUUAGGCUUAGAUUCCAUGAUUUAUUAGGUAGAUUUCACAAUAGAAUAGAGUUUUAAGUCCAAAAUUCUUACCUCCAAAUGUUUCCCCUUGAAUCCCUCUUCAAUCUCCUUCAAAAAGCUCCAAAAACGACCAACUAUGGAGGAAAUAAACCCCAAAAUCACGGACAAGACGAGUACUUAAACAUUCUGUCCAGGCCUAAAUUUCCUUCUUCGCGAACGCGGUCAAAGCCUCACGUUCGCGAAGCUCACAAAUUUCGUUGACCAAAACUCUUCUUUGCGAGCGCGACCCCACCAUCGCGAACACGAUGCCUUAGCUUCACCAACCUACGCGAACGCGACCAAGCCUCUCGCGAACCCGAUGCUUACUAAUCCAGCCCUUCGCGAACGCUGAACUCCCCUUCACGAACGCGAAGGCUAAACCUGGCACCUCCCUUCUUGACCCUUCGCGAACGCAAGGGUCCACUCGCGAACGCGAAGACCAAAAUAUCUACAACAGCUGAAACCAUUUUCUUUAAUUUUUCUUAACUUAAAAUGAUCCAUUCAACCCUCCGAAACUCACCCGAGGCCCCCGGGACCUCAACCAAAGGCACAAACAUAUCCCAUUACCUUAUCCAAACUUGUUCCAAUCUUCAAAACACCUCAAACAACAUCAAAUCAACCAAAACACAUCAGAUUCAAGCCUAACUUUCUAAAAUCUUCUGAAUUCCUCUUUUGAUAAAAAAAACCCAACCAAACCACGUCCAAAUGACCUGAAAUUUUGCACACAUCCCAAAUGACACAACGGAACUACUGCAACUCUCGGGAUUCCAUUCGACUCCUAGAUCAAAAUCUUGCCUACCAACCGAAAAUUGCCAAAAUAUCAACUUCACCAAUUCAAGCCUAAAUCUACUCCGAACCUCCAAAACUCAUUCCAAUCGCGCUCCUAAGUCCCAAAUCACCUCCCAAAGUCAACCGAACCAUCAGAACUCACAUCCGAGCCUCUAACACAUAAGUCAAUAUCCGGUUGACUUUUCUAACUUAAGCUCUCUUAAAAGAGACUAAGUGUCUCAAACCUUACCAAAAUCAUUCCAUAUUCGAUCCAACCAACCCGAUACCAUAUAACAUGUAUAAACAAAGCAUAAAGAAGCAGAAAUAGGGAAAUCGGAGCAAUAACUCCUGAGACGACUGAUCAGAUCGACACAAUCUCCAUUUAAGCUUCCAAUAUAUAUUACAAGAUGAUACUAUAAAGCAGCCAGAUGUACAUACAUAUAUUGAAUAUACUACAAGAUCAAUAGGAGAACAAGAUUUCGAGUCAUCAACAUGUUUACUGUUGUUUGAAGAAAAAGUCAUCUGAUGGAAGGCCAAAACAAGAUUGAAUCUCAUCACAGAAAGAUAAUUGAUAGCUAAAUAUAAAUUCUUUCAAUAAUAUCAUGGUGCCAAGAUGGUACUAAUUAGCCAGUAUGAAAACCAGGAGAUAAGAACGAGACACACUUCCCACAAAAAUUCAUUAGGAAGUAGUAACAAUUAGAUUAGAAAUUCACUUAUAUUUAAGCGUUUCAGUAGAAUUGAUGAAAUUUACCUAUAUCGCUUUCAUAUAGAUUGAAUUAUGAUGAAAAUCAUCAAUUAGCUUGAUAACAGAUGGAUAAAACAACAAACUAGCUCAGUGUAAUUUAUUUUUUCCUUUACUAAAUCUUGUUAAAAAUAUAAUAGCACGCAUACCUUGCUUUUUGUGAAUAAACAAGCUGGAAGCCACGAAUAAUAUGAUUAACAUACUAAAAGUGUAACAACCUAAUUACAUAUAUAAAAUCAGAAAUGAUUAAAUUAGUAAAACAAAAAGCCAAACUCUAAUCUAAAAACAAAUAGACAUCUUAGAAAAGCACACAAAGUUAUAAAUAUACAAAUAAAUAAUUUUAAUGAUAUAAACUCAAACCGAGUAGACACUGCCAGAACUCGUAGAUGGUUUUGUCAACAAACAGAAAUAAGAGUAUGUUCAAAUGAAAUUAAAAAUAAAUCAGAAAAAAAUAAUAGGAGCACCAUACUAGAGUUAUACAUGAAGCAUUCAUGCGGAGCUAGAGUACUAACUUAUGGGUGUUCUAAUUUUUACUAAAUAUGGUGUGAAAGAAUAAGAGAGCAGGAAAGAUGGAAUUUGUCUGAUGUUUUAAACUUCUUAUAGACCUAAAACAAAUGUAGCGUGUCCUGGAACUUUAGAAAAAGCCUCCAAACCACAUUUCAUAAAAUGCAAGCAUUUCAACAUUCUAGGAUUGAUAGUUUGAGCUCUAACUUCUCAAGAGCAAUUAAGAGAUAUUAAAAGUAAAACUAACUGAUAGAAAAGUGAGAACAACAUGGUUGUGUCAGACAUAAUAAAUUGAGUGAGAAUUAUUUAGUAUUUGAGUCUUUUCAGCUAUGGUAGCAAAUACAUCAACUAAUAACUAGGAUUGUCCGCUUCCAGUUGCCACUGUUUUAACAAUAAAACAACAGAUUAAGUUCAAAGAUCAUCUCAAAGCGGACAAUUAUCAUCUAUAUUCAUUUUCUUAGUUUAAUUGAUCAAUCAAUUCAAGAAGGUGUCAGUUCUGCACAUUUUUAUCCUUUAAAAGAUGCAUCAAAACUUCCAUCUAGAUCUAGCACCCAACUAUUUCAACUUCUGUCAAUUAAAUACUCAAGUAGUUCUUGUGAAAGCAACAUACACAUGUGAAAUACACAAGCUGCUAACAUUAAUAUCAAGAGUUGACUAGAUAGGAACCUGACUUCUUUUAAAACUGUUACAUUAGGUUUUGACUAGAUAUUUGCGGGGUCACAAGGGAUAGGUGCCGAAGCUAAAUUCCAGGUUCCCUGAAGGGAGGGGGGGGGGGGGGCAGGAAAGUUAAGAAUGUGGUAGGGUAAAACAUUGCAUCAGAUCUAUUGAGGCAAUAUCAUAGCAAUUCUGGUAUGCAAUUGAUGCAUACGUAGAUGCAAUCAUACUUCUGCCGCUCAUUUUCAUGAUUUCAUCUACACAAGAUUCUAUAGUAGGGUAAGUUUAUUCCAUUCUAAAUAUCUACUUAUACAUAAUAGUAUCCAUACUUCAAUAUAUAUGUAAUAAGAAAAGGCACGUCAACUAUAGCUUUUACUAUUUCUGAGACAUGAGAGCACACUACCUCCUUAACUUAUUGACAAGAAAUAAACUGGUAGAAUCACACAAUACUUCUCCCCGACAGGACGCUACAUUGUGCACCAUAAUGUUAUUUCAGCAAAUAUGAAAAGUAAUUAGUAACUAAGAAAUCCUAUCAUGAAGCUUAAGAAAUGUUUCCUGCACCUGCAACUGAAGUAACUAAUCACUUGGAAUCAUAAAGGAUUUAAAACCUAAAAAGUUCAAACUUUAGAAAAUAAAUGAAACUAAUCAUUACAAUACUGAAGAAUGGCCAAAAAGUAUUGCAAAAGAAGUAAAAAUGUGAAAACUAAAUUAAAGGUGAACAUUAAAGCAGCCUAGUUAAAUGCUUCUCAUAGCAAAAAGUUACUUUAUUAAAAUCAGAAAUGCUUGUUAAACUCACAGCACAUAUAAAAAAAACUAAACUUUCAAUAAAAAAAUUAGCCAGGCAAUUUAGUUUCUACUUACAAGAAAAACAAUUAGUCCAAUCAAUUAAGAACAGAUUUAGCAAGCUCUUAAUGGUCUAUUAGUUACACAAAUUUAGGAUUCAUAUUUUGGGAUUUAAACUGAAGCAGCUUACUAGGGUUUCGAAAAGCUGAAACAUACUCACAAAAAAUCAACAAGAUUUAAUUUGAACGAAUAAUUAAAUUGGGAUUUUGAAUAAAAAGAACAACUUUUUAAAAAAAGCAUCACCGGAAUCCUGAAAACCCGGCGAAAGAUCACCGGCGCCGCAAAAGUGUCCGAUCAAAUACUCGUUUCUUUAUCUGACUCAGACGCAUGGAGAUCCGGUUACUGAUUGGUACCAUUUUCUGUGUCAUUAAAGGAGCCUGACAAAUAUGUCACUUUCCAACGAAAUCUCCAAUUGAAUUUGAUUUCCACAUAGCCCAACAAAAGUAUUUCAAUCCCUUCUACUCUGCUAUACUCAAUCUACAAAAAAGAUAUGAGAAGAGCCCUCAACUUUGCUUAUGGAAUUUUAGGAAAGAAGAACGAGGAGAUUUUCUUCUAGCGUGGGUAAAUAGAUUUUAGCGAAAUAUUUUAGGGCGUUGUUUUUCAGAAAAAUUUUAGGGGGAAAUUGUUGCGGG
This 5730-nucleotide long non-coding RNA is filed under the name Nicotiana tabacum (common tobacco). Its description in RNAcentral is "long non-coding RNA (NTAB_LNC006464)". Lineage: Eukaryota; Viridiplantae; Streptophyta; Magnoliopsida; Solanales; Solanaceae. The record is from RNAcentral.